GUUGACCUCGGAUCAGGUAGGAAUACCCGCUGAACUUAAGCAUAUCAAUAGCCCGGAGGAAAGAUCAUUACCGAGUUUACAACUCAAAACCGGUGAAC
RNAcentral lists this ribosomal RNA (98 nucleotides) under Fusarium oxysporum. RNAcentral describes it as "partial 28S ribosomal RNA". The record is from RNAcentral. Lineage: Eukaryota; Fungi; Ascomycota; Sordariomycetes; Hypocreales; Nectriaceae.